RNAcentral lists this ribosomal RNA (300 nucleotides) under uncultured bacterium. RNAcentral's name for it is "bacterial SSU rRNA". It matches the Rfam family "Bacterial small subunit ribosomal RNA", at positions 399 to 691 of the family's 1533-position model. The record is from RNAcentral.
GCGUGUGGGAUGAAGGCCCUCGGGUUGUAAACCACUUUUGGCAGGAAAGAAAUCGCCUGUGCUAAUACCACGGGCGGAUGACGGUACCUGCAGAAUAAGCACCGGCUAACUACGUGCCAGCAGCCGCGGUAAUACGUAGGGUGCGAGCGUUAAUCGGAAUUACUGGGCGUAAAGAGUGCGUAGGCGGUUUUGUAAGACAGAUGUGAAAUCCCCGGGCUUAACCUGGGAACUGCAUUUGUGACUGCAAGACUAGAGUGUGUCAGAGGGAGGUGGAAUUCCGCGUGUAGCAGUGAAAUGCGU